GGGGAGGAGGAGGGGUGAAGGUUUUGGUGGGGAGUCAAGGACAGGGAUUCUGCAUCAUGGGAAUAGAGUCCUACAGCACGUCUGUGGUGAUCGUCUCACCCAGGGACCACACAAACCUUGCACUUCGCCGUUACUCCCCAAACUAGGCCCAUGGCAAACCACAGCAGUCAGUCACCGCACUCCCGCUGCGCCCUGACACAGCUCCAGGAUCCUUCUUUUCUUUUUUUUUUUUUUUUUAAGAUUUUAUUUAUUUAUUU
Molecule: long non-coding RNA, 257 nt
Organism: Mustela erminea (ermine)
Lineage: Eukaryota; Metazoa; Chordata; Mammalia; Carnivora; Mustelidae
Exons: 3
Source: RefSeq, a predicted model, not a curated record